RNAcentral lists this transfer RNA (71 nucleotides) under Marmota monax (woodchuck). RNAcentral describes it as "tRNA.Ala". It matches the Rfam family "tRNA". From Rfam's summary of the family: Transfer RNA (tRNA) molecules are approximately 80 nucleotides in length. Their secondary structure includes four short double-helical elements and three loops (D, anti-codon, and T loops). Further hydrogen bonds mediate the characteristic L-shaped molecular structure. tRNAs have two regions of fundamental functional importance: the anti-codon, which is responsible for specific mRNA codon recognition, and the 3' end, to which the tRNAs corresponding amino acid is attached (by aminoacyl-tRNA synthetases). tRNAs cope with the degeneracy of the genetic code in two manners: having more than one tRNA (with a specific anti-codon) for a particular amino acid; and 'wobble' base-pairing, i.e. permitting non-standard base-pairing at the 3rd anti-codon position. Lineage: Eukaryota; Metazoa; Chordata; Mammalia; Rodentia; Sciuridae. The record is from RNAcentral.
GGGGCUGUGGCUCAGUGGCACAGCACUUGCCUAGCAUGCAUGAGGCUCUGGGUUCAGUCCUCAGCACCACA